This 77-nucleotide small RNA is filed under the name Flavobacterium sp. 81. Its description in RNAcentral is "Flavo-1 RNA". It matches the Rfam family "Flavo-1 RNA". RNAcentral also lists the same sequence under 1 other name. Lineage: Bacteria; Pseudomonadati; Bacteroidota; Flavobacteriia; Flavobacteriales; Flavobacteriaceae. The record is from RNAcentral.
CCGCAUGAGGGAUAGUAGUAAAAAUCCUUCUAUUUUUCUUUAAAAAUAGAAGAUUGUAACGAAUAGCCCGACCCGCU